UCUUCCCUGCGGUGUUCGAAUAAAAGGAUUUUAUUUUAACCGAUAACUUUAGAACGGAAUCCUAUCUCUGACUGUGGCUGUAAACCGUACUUGUAUACGGAAACAUUUAAACAGUCAGGCGGAGUCCACCUGCAUAGCAGGUUAAAAAUAUGUCCUAAGUAACGGCAUUGUGGGGUACUU
Molecule: non-coding RNA, 180 nt
Filed under: Clostridia bacterium
Lineage: Bacteria; Bacillati; Bacillota; Clostridia
Description: 6S RNA
Rfam family: 6S / SsrS RNA
About the family: E. coli 6S RNA was the first non coding RNA to be sequenced, but its function was unknown until recently. It consists of 184 nucleotides that fold into an extended hairpin structure with a large single-stranded internal bulge. The 6S RNA specifically associates with RNA polymerase holoenzyme containing the sigma70 specificity factor.
Source: RNAcentral